Molecule: long non-coding RNA, 10807 nt
Filed under: Homo sapiens (human)
Lineage: Eukaryota; Metazoa; Chordata; Mammalia; Primates; Hominidae
Description: HSALNT0347597
Source: RNAcentral
GUGGCAGCCAUGGGAGUGGAUAAAGGCGAAAAAGAACCUGCAGGAGGCAUGCAAGUGGCUGAGAGGCACACUUACUGCCCCUUCAUGAUUCACCUCUGCACUCAUGUCAUGGGCACGCUCUUAAGAGCUGCUGGCGCCCCACAACUGACCAGGGUGGUGUACUGGAGCCAGGCCCUUUCUGCCUAAGCAGGACACUCAAAGAGGCAGUCUUUGCCCUGCAGCCCUCCACUGGCCCAGCCAACACUCUCUCAGAGCUUAGACAUCUGCUUCUCAGAGCACCCAAACUGACAGGGUGUAUCCAGUAUAUUUGAUUCUGAAGCUAGAGAGACCCAGCUGGCCAUACACAUUGGGGAAUCAUUGACAGAUGGCAGCUGAGAUCUGAGAGCGGUUGACCUCACUUCACAAGGUUGAGUGGAAUUAGGAGGGACAAACUUCUGUGACAGGAGCCUGAGGAGCACCAAACAGGAGAACCCAGCCCAUUUCACAGGAUGUUUAAUGUGUGCUCACAAAUAGAUUCCAUCAGCUCUCCUACGGCACCCAGGAGGUCAGCUGCCCCAUGGAGGAAGCAAGAUUUGUGUGCAUUAGAAAUAAAUGAACUGUUGGAGAUAGGAUCUUCUUUGUUGACAAAACAAGUCUUGAAGAUAAGAGAUCAAGGCUUCUAGUUAAAUGGAGCAGUGACCUUAUCAGAAAUCUCAAAGCAGAAAAGUCUGUCAGAAAAACAGCAUCAGAUCAAGGAAACCAAGUACAUGGAGCUAAUUUUUGACUCUAAAGAAAGGCAAGAUUAUUUAAUAAUAAUGAUAAUGGCACAGUUUGUUAACUAUGUGAAGAAAAUCAAAUAUAGCUUUAUCUCCAUUAUACAACCAAAUAUAUUCUACAUGGAUUAAAAUAUUAAAUGUAAAAGUUAAUCAAACCAAUAAGUCAAAAAAGAAAAAAAUAGAAAAAAUAUCCAUAAAAAUUUAUUGAAUUACAAAAUGGUCAUAAAAUAUAUUAGUUCAAAACAAUGGAAUAAUUCAUAAAGGAUGACUAUUAUAGAGAUUUUCCCGUAGAGAGUUCUAAAAUUUAUGUGACUCAAAAAAUGCCUUAUAUAAAACUAAUAUCAAAUAAAAAUUUUCAGAAAAUAUUUGCUUGCAUAAGGCAAAAGAGCUAAUAACCUUAAUGUAUAAAAGUUCCUUCAAACUAAGUACCAUCUCAGAAGAAAAAAAAUCUCAAAGUGGUAAUCAAAUAAUAAAAAUUGUAAUACCAGGUCUCGAUGACUUAGCUAGGUGUGGUGGUGCACACGCCUGUCGUCCCAGCUACUCGGGAGACUGAGGCAGAAGAAUCACUUGAACCCAGGAGGUGGAGUUUGCAGUGAGCCAAGAUCACGCCACUGCACUCCAGCCUGGGGACAGAGCGAGACUCUGUCAAAAAACAAAACAAAACAAAAUAAAACUUCCCUUAAUUCUGCAACAUUUCUGAUUAGACCAAGUAGCAUCAGGAAAGAUACAGAAGAACUUUCCCUCCUCCAACAGCUAAGUUCAACUAAAUUUCUGGACACUGUAUAUAUUUUAACCUCCCCCACCUAAAAUAAAAGAAAAAAAAGAGAAGACUUUGCAGUAUGGAGAAAAGGUAGACAAGCCAGGGACCUUGGUCUCAAAGAACAACAUGGUGGUGGGUUUCCUGGGUUUUCUUUUCCAUCAUAUAUCUCAGACUUGGAGAUGAAAAAUCAGCAAUCCAGAAACAACAUUGGAUGGAGAAAAAGCUGCAAUGAAAGAUUGCCAUCUCUAGCAAAGGAGCAGAAAAGGGGCAGACUAUCAAGGCAGAAAACUUUCAGGCUGUAACUGCUCUACUCCAACCACAUCCAGAAAACAAAACUAAACAAACAAACAAAAAAAACUUGUGGCCUCAUUUUCACUCAUGCUAACAAAGCCCAAGUGGGGAGUCUAAACUGCCACCCUCACAAAGCUGUAAAUAGGUGCCCGCAAUACCCCUACAGGAGUGGUGUCAGAGGACAUGGAAAAGGGAGCCAAAACUUUCAUUUCUGUUAGCCAGUAACAAGAGUCUACUGCAGUGUAAAUGGAGACCAUAUGGGGAACUUGGACUUUCAUGCUACCUGGCAGUGACGAGGCAGCCCUUCUUUCCCUGAUGGAAUGGCAUCAGAGGAUCCCAGUGGGAAGUGAGGACAUUCACUACCACUAAUUAGUAACAAGGCCACCACCACUAUGGUGUCAAUAGAGAUCACAUGGAGAGGCAGCACAAAUAUCUAUGCCCAGUAGUUAUUAAGACCUGCUUCUCUCAGCAGAGUCAGGUGUCAGUGGAGGAGAAGUGAAGGAUCUGGAAGUGAAUUCUACCUUCCAGUAGAAAGCUGUGUUGAGCCACUUUUCCCCCUUUCAAAGCAGUGCCUAAAAAAGCAGCUGGAGGAUAAAGUUUGAAUAAGAUCCAAAGACUCUUAACGUAAUAUGAAUGUGACCAGGUUUCAAUCAAAAAUUGCUUGUCAUACAAAUAACAAGGAAAAUUUCAAAAAGGAUAAAAAGUAAAUUCAUUAUAUGCCAAUAGUGAGAAGGCAGAGCUAUUAAAAUAAUCUGACAGAGAUUGUAGAGCAACUGUGGUAAAAAUACUUCAACAAUCAAAACAUGCUUGAAACAAAUUUAAAAAACAGAGUUUCAGCACAGAUAUAUAAGACACAAAGAAGAACCACUGGACAUUUUAGAACAGAAAAAUGUAAUAACUUAAGUGAAAGCUUAAUGGAUGAUAUCAACAGCAGAAUAGAAGAGACAGAAGAAGAAAACAGGUAGCUUUAAGAUAGAAGAAGAAAAAUCACAUAAUCUAAACAACAGAGAGGAUAAAGGAAAAGAAAAUGAACAGAGCCUCCAAGAUCUGUGGACUAUAACAAAAUAUCUAGCAAAGACCUGGAAGAAGAGAAAUAGAGUGGGUCUAAAAAUGUGCUCCAAGUACACAUGGUCACAAAGAUGAGAACAAUAGACACUGAGGACUACUUGGAGGGGGAGACUGGGAGGAGAGUGAGGGUCAUAAAACUACCGAUUGGGUAUCUUGCUCACUGCCUGGAUGAUGGAAUCAUUUGUACACCAAACCCCAGUACUACACUGCCCAUGUAACAAACCUGCACAUAUACACCCUGAAUCUAAAAUAAAAGUUGAAUAAAUACAUAAAUAUAUAAAAAAUAAAAAUGUACACCAAAAAAUAGCAUCUAAAAUCUACCAAUUUCAUUAGAGACAUAAACCUACAGAAUAUGAAUAAAUAUGAAUGAACCCUAAACAGGGUAAUCACAAAGAUAUUCACACCAAGUUCCCUUGUAAUUAAACAUCUGAGAACUAGAAACAAAGAAAAAAUUUUGAAAGCAAUCAGAGAAAAGACACUUGACCAAUACGAGAAAAGCAAUUAAAAUGACAGAUUUCUCAUCAGAAACCACAGAGGAGAGAUGGAAGUGGCACGAUAUUUUUCAGGUGUCAAAAGAAAAGAGCUCUCAACCUAGGCUGACAAUCCUCUACCCAGGAUGAAAUCCUAGUUUCACAAUUGCAUUAGUCCAUUCUCACAUUGCUAUAAAGAACUACCUGAGACUGGGUAAUUUAUGAAGAAAAGAGCUUUAAUUGGCUCAUAGUUCUGCAGGCUGUACAGGAGGUGUGACUCAGGAGGCCUCAGUAAACUUAGGAUCAAAGCAGAAGGCGAAGGGGAAGCAGACACAUCUUCAUAUGGCAGAACAGGAGAGAAAAAGAGUGAAGGGGAACGUGCCACACACUUUUAAACAACCAGAUCUUGUUAGAACUCUAUCACAAGACAGCACUGGGGGAUGGUGCGAAACCAUUGGAAACCACCCCCAUGAUUCAAUCACCUCCCACCAGGGCCCUCCUCCAACACUGCGGAUUACAAUUCAACAUGAGAUUUGGGUGGGAGACAGAAACAAACCAUAUCAACAAUCCUAUACCCUGAAUAUUCAAUCCUAUAACCAAAGUGAAAGGGAAAUCAUAAUAUUCUUAAGCUGAAGAAAAAGUAAGAUAAUUUACUAUCCUAUCCAAAAAGUAUACCUAAAGAAAGUUCUCUAAACAGAAGGAAAACAAAAGAAAGACACCAGGAAAGGAAGAAAACAGAAAAAAAUAAGGUAAAUAAAAUGGGAUUUCCUUCUCCUUUGGGGUUUUCUAAAUUAUGUUUGAUCGUUAAGUCAAAAUUAUAACACUGAUUUUAUUCUAAAUUUAUGUAGAGAUAAUAUUUAGAACUAUUAUUAUAUAAACAUGGGACAGUAAAGGGGCAUAGAAAAGAGGUAAGGAUUAUAUAUUUCACUUCAACUGAAAAAAAAUGACAUCAGCACCUUGUAAUAAGUUUAUGUAUAGAAAAUUGUAUAUUCAGGCGUACCCAUUUUACCGCACUUCGCUUUAUGGUGCUUUGCAGAUAUGAUGUUUUUUACAAAUUGGAGGUUUGUGGCAACUCUGCAUUACGCACAUCUAUGGGUGCUGUUUUCUUAACAGCAUGUGCUCACUUAGUGUCUUUGUAUCAGCACUUUUUAGCAAUAAAGUGUUUUGUAACUGAGGUAUGUACAUGUUUUUAGAAAUAUGCUAUUGCACACUUCAUAGUAUGGUAUAAAUAUAACUUUUACAUGUGCUGGGAAAUCAGAAAUUUGUGUAACUCACUUUAUUGCCAUAUUUGCUUUAUUGUGGUGGUCUGGAACUCAACCUGCAAUAUCUCUGAGAUAUGUUUGUAUAAUGUAAUACCUAUAGUGAAACAAGUUAUAUGAAAGAUACAUUCAAAACACUAUAGGUAAAUCCAAAUGAAAUUAUAGUGACCAGCCUGGGCAGCAUGGUGAAACUCUGUCUCUACUAAAAAUAGAAAAAUUAGCUGAGCAUGGUGGCACAUGCCUGUAAUCCCAGCUACUCGGGAGACUGAGGCAUUAUUGCUUGAAUCCCUGAGGCAGAGGUUGCAAUGAGCCGAGAUCGCACCACUGCACUCUAACCUGGGUGACAGAGCAAGAUUGUAUCUCCAAAAAAAAAAAAAAAAAAAUUAUAAAAAAUGUUCAAUUAACCCACAGCAGGAUAGGAAAAAAGAAGAUAUUGAAAGGAAAAGUAGGGAGCAGAAAUAAAGCCUAAAAUAAAAUGCAGAUCUAAAUACUAGCACAUCGAUAACUAAUUAAAUGCAGAUGUUCUAAAAUCACUAAUUAAAAAAGAGUGGCAAAUGGAUUUUAAAAUCAUGACAAUUACAGAAUAUUAAAAACUCUUCAAAUAUAAUGAUACAGGCAGGCUGAAAUUAAAAGAGUAGUAGAAAAAUAUAAAAUUCAGUCAUGAAUCAGACAAAAAUAGAAAUGACUAAAUUAAUUCCAGUAAAGUAGAUUUUGUAGCAAAGAAAUUACCAGAGAGAGAGAGGAAUAGUGUAUAAUGACAAAAGUGUCAGUCCACCACAAAGACAUUGCAAUGGUAGAUGGAGCAUGCACCAAGUAAUGUAAUUGAAAACAUGUGAAGCAAAAACUGAAAUAAAGAAAAAGAGACACAGACAUAUCCACAAUGAUGGAUAAAGACUUCAUACUUCUCUCAACAAUCGAUAGAAAAACUAGACAUAAAAUCAACAUGGAGAUAAGAACCCAACAAUACCAUCAACCAACAGAAUCUAAAUAACAUUUAUAAAAAUUCCACUCAACAUCAGCAGAAUACACAUUAUUUUCAAAUGUCCAUGGAACAAGUACCAAAAUCAGCCAUAUUCUGGGCCAUAAGACAGACCUCAACAAAUAGAAAAGAUUUGAGAUCAUGCAGAGAAUGUCUUCCAAACAUAAUGGUAUCAAAUUAGAAAUCACUAAUAGAAAUAAAACCAAAAAUAUCUCUUCACACUUGGCAACAAGACAACCUAUUACUAAAUAAUCCAUGAGUCAAAAAGGAAUUAUCAAGAGAAAGAAAAAAAUACAUCAAAUUGAAUGAAAGUUAAAACAUGUCAAAAUGUGUAGAACACAGUGAAAGCCAUGCUGAGAGGAAAAAUUAUAGCACUAAGUGCAUACAUUAGAAAAGAGUUUGAAAAGGCUCAAAACAAUAAUGUGAGCUUUCACCUCAAAAACCUAGUAAGUGACUAAAAAAUAAACCCAAAACAUUAUAAGUCAUUAGAGAAUUGCAAAUUAAAACAACAAUGAAAUACCAUUAUGCAAGCAUUAGAAUGAAUAAAAAUCCAAAAACUGACAAUACUAAAUGCUGUUAAGGAUGUGGAACAAUAGGAACUCUCCUUCAUUGCUAGCAGUAAUGCAAAAUUGUACAGCUAAUUUAGGAGAUCAUUUGGUGGUUUCAUAUGAAACUAAACAUAGUCUUACCACACAACCCAGCAAUUGCCUACUUAGAUAAUUAUCCUGAUGAGUUGAAAACUUAUGUCCACAUAAAAACUUGCGUAUGAAUGUUUACAUCAGUUUUAUUCUUAAUCACCAGAAUCUGAAAGCUAACCAAAAUAUUUUUUAGUAGAUGAAUAAACUCUAGUACAUCCAUAAAAUUGAAUAUAAUUGUAGAUAAUAUUAAUGAACUAUAUAAUAAAAAUUAUAUAAUAAGUAAUGAAUUACAAAGCCAUGAAAAGACAUGAAGGAAUAUUAUGUACAUAUUGCCAAGUUUAAAAAGCCAAUGUGAAAUGAAAAGGCUACAUAUUAUAUAAUUCCAACUGCAUGACAAUCUUGAAAAAAGCAAAACUAUGGAGACCUUAAAAAGAUCUGUGGUUUCCAGAAGUUGAGGUGGGGUAUCAGGGAGGACAGGAGGGAUAAAUAGAUGGAACAUAUGAGAUUUUUAGGAUGAUGAAACUGUGCUGUGUGGUGGAUAUAAGGCAUGCAUUAGUCAAAACCUAUAGAAGAGUACCACACAAAAAAAGUAAACCUUAAUAUAAACUACCAACUUCACUUAAUAAUAAUGUAAUAGUAUUGGCUCAUUAAUUGUAACAAAUGCAUCAUUCUAUACUAUGCAAAAUGUUAAUAGAGGAAAUUAUAUGGGAGUGGGGGAGUAUUAUCUGCACAAUAUUUUUGCUCUAAAAUGUUGAGGUAGAUUUGUACCUGAUUUGUUGAGAGGUUUUAUCAUGAAGGGAUGUCAAAUUUUGUCAAAUCCUUCUUCUGGCUUAUUGAGAUGGUCAUAUGAUUUUUACUCUUUAUUCUAUUAAUACGUUACAUUUAUGAUUUGCAUACAUUAAACCAUUCUUGCAUCCUUGGGAUCGAUCUUACUUGUUCAUGGUGAAUAAUCUUUUUAAUGUGCUAUUGACUUUUGUUUGCUAGUGUUUUGUUGAGUAUUUUUGCAUCUAUGUUCAUUAGCAAUAUUAGCCUGUUUUUUUCUUUUUUAUUGAAAGCUUUCCCUCUAAGAUUUGGAAGAAGACAAGGAUGCCCAUUUUCACAACUCCUUGACAUAGUAGUGAAAGUCCUUUCUACAGCAAUUAGGCAAAAGAAAGAAAUAAAAUACAUCCAAAUAGGAAAGGAGGAGGAAGUCAAAUUGUCCCUAUUUGCAGAUGACAUAAUCUUACACAUAGAAUACUCUAAAGACUCCACCAAAAACCUGUUAGAACUAAUAAACAAAUACAGUAAAAAUGCAGGAUAUAAGAUUGAUAUAAAAAAUCAGUGGUGUUUUUAUACACCAAUGGUGAACUAUCUGAGAAAGAAAAGAAGAAAGUAAUUCCAUUUACAGUUGCUACAAAUAAAUAAAUACCUAUGAAUAAAUCUAACCAGGGAGGUAAAAUACCUCUACAAUGAAAACUGUAAAACUGAUUAAAUGAGUUAAAGGGGAUAAAAAUUAAUGGAAAGAUAUUUGAUGCUCAUGAAUUGGAAGGAUUAAUAUUAUUAAAUGUUCAUACUGCUUAAGACAAUCUACAGAUUCAAUACAGUCCUUAUCAAAAAUUCCAGUGUCAUUCUUCACAGAAAUAAAAAAGAACAAUCCUAAAAUUUGUAUGAAAUAAAAAAAGACCCCAAAUAGCCAAAACAAUCUUGAGCAAAAAGAACAAAGCUGUAGGCAUUACACUACCCAAUUUUAAAAUCAAAUCUAUAGUAACCAAAACAGCAUGAUAUUGGCAUAAAAAUACAUACACAGAUCAAUGGUACAAAAUAGAAAGCUCAGAAACAAAUCCAUGCAUUUACAACCAAUUGAUUUUCAAUAAAGUUGCCAAGAACACACAAUGGGAAAAUAAAUGGUGCUGGGAAAACUGGAUAUCCACAUGCAAAAGAAUGAAACUUGACCCUAUCUCUCAUGAUAUACAAAAAUCUACUCGAAAUAAUCUACUCUUAAAUAUAAGACUCAAACUAUAAAAUUAAUACAAAAAAGGGGGUGAACACUACAUGAUAUCAGUCUGGACAUGGAUUUUUUAGACAAGACCUCAAAAGAAAGAACAACAAAAACAAAAAUCAACAAAAACAAAAAUAAACAAAUAGGACAACAUCAAACUAAAAAAGUUCUGCACAGCAAAGGAAAAAAUCAACAGCAUGAAGAAGCAACCAUAGAAUGAGAGAAAACAUUUCCAUGUUAUAUACCUUACAAAGAGUUAAUACCCAGAAUUUAUAAGAACUCAACUCAAUGGCAAAAACAACUAAUUCAAUUUAAAAGUAGACAGAGCAAGACUCUGUCUCAAAAUAAAUAAAUAAAUAAAUAAAUAAAUAAAAGUAGACAAAAGACCUGUUUAGACAUAUCUUCAAAGAAGACAUACAAAUGGCCAACAAGUUUAUGAAAAAAUGCUCAACAUCAGCAACCAUCAGGAAAAUGCAAAUCAAAACCACAAUGUGAUAUCACCUCACCCCAGUUAAAAUAACUAUUACGAAAAAAAACAAAAAAUAACAAUGCUGUUGAGGAUAUGGAAAAAUGGGAACCCUUAUAGAUUGUUAGUGGGAAUGUAAAUUAAUACAGCCUUUAUGGAAAACAGUAGGACAUUCCUCAAAAAAUUAAAAUCAGAUCUACCGUAUCACCCAGCAGUCCCAUUACUGGGUAUAUAUCCAAAAGAAAUACAAUCAGUAUGUCAAAAAGAGAUCUCAUGUUUAUUGCAGGACUAUUCACAAUAUCCAAGAUGUGGAAUCAAAUUAAAGACCCACCAAUUAAUAAAUGGAUAAGGAAAAUGUGGUAUGUGUAUAUAUAUAUAUAUAUAUAUAUAUAUACACACACAAUGGAAUAUUAUUCAGCCACACAAAAUAAUAAAAUUGUGUCAUUGUGCAACAUGGAUAAGCCUGAAGGACAUUAUGUUAAGUAAAUUAAGCCAGGCACAGAAAGACAAAUGCCACAUGAUCCCAUUCAUAUGUAAUACCUAAAAAAAUUGAUCACAAAAAAGUUCAGAGUAGAAUAGUUGUUACCAGAGAGUUAGGAGAAUACAAGAAAAAGGGAGAUGGGGAGGGGCUGGUCAUUGGGUACAAUGUUACAGCUGGAUAAGAAUAAGAAGUUCCAUUACUUUAUAGCACAACAGGGUGACUGUAGCUAACAAUAAUGCAUUGUAUAUUUCAAAUAGCGAGGAAAGAGGUUUUUGAAUGUUCUUAUAACAAUGAAAUGGGCCAGGUGCAAUAUGAGAGGCUUGAGCGUUGCUUAAGGCAGAGUUCAAGAUCAGUCUGGGCAACAUAGCAAGCCCCCAUCUUAGGUUUGUUUGUAUGCACCUGUAGUCCCAGCCAUUCAGGAGGCUGAGGUGGGAGGAUCACUUGAGCCAGGAAGGUUGAGGCUACAAUGAGCUAUGAUCAUGCUGCCGCACCCCAGUCUGGGCAACAGAACUAGAUCCUAUCUCACAAACAAACAAACAAAGAUACAAUACAUGUUUAAAGUGAUGGAUAUGCUAAUUAUCACGAUUUUAUCAUUACACAACAUAUAUAUAUGGCAACAUUACGUUGUAAUACAUGUAAACAUGUGCAAUUAUUUUUUGUCAAAAAAGAAUAAAGAUGUGUUGUCAAAAACAUGUAAAAAUAAAUAAAAAUAUAAUCUACUAAGUAAAAAGACUUAAUUAAAAUUCAACAUACAUUCAUAAUUAAAAGCUCAAAUAAUGAAAUAGAGGAUAAUUUUCUCACCUUGAUACAAAGCAUCAGCUGAAAAGCUGCAACUAACAUUAUACUGACUGGGGAGAAUUGAUACUUUCUCCUCAAGAUCAGGUACAGAAACAGGAUGUUAAUUCUCACCACUUUUAGUCAACUUAGUGCUGGAAGUUCUGGUAAGUACAAUAGGGCAAGAUAAAGAAAGCUGAAAGACUACAGAUCAGGAUGUAAUAUAUAAAAUCAUCCCAUUUGCGGAAGGCACAAUUGUCUUCUACAUAGAAAAUUCCAAUGAAUCUACAAAAAUCUUGUACAAACUAACAACUAAUAACUAAUCAGCAAGGUCAUAGGACAAAAAAUAUGCAAAAAUUAAUUUUAAUUCUACAUAUUUGCAAUAAACACAUGAACCCCAACACUUAAAAUACAAUUAUAAUCCCUCAAAAAUAAAAAUGUAGGUAUAAAUCUAACAAAACAUUUACAGAAAUUAUAUAUUAAAAUUAUACAACACUAAUGUAUUAAUUUCCUUUUGCUGCUGUAACAAAUGACCACAAACAUAGUGGCUUAAACCAAUACAAGUUUAUCAGAACUCUAGAGAUCAUAUGUCUUAAAUACGUUUCAUGAGACCAAAAUCAAUGCAUUGGCAGGCAUGGAUUCCUUCUGGAAGCUCUUUGGGAGACUGCAUUUCUUCACCUUUUCCAGCUUCUAGGGGCUGCUUCCAUUCCUUGGCACGUGGCUCCAGCUAGCAGUUUCAUCACUCUGAUCUCUGCUUCCAUAGUCACAUCUACUUCUCUGUAUCCUCUGCCUCCCUUUUUCACUUAAAGAAACAUUACAAGUACAUUGGACCUACAAGAAUAAUACACGAUAAUCUCACUAUUUCUUUAUUUCUCUUCCUUCCUUCUU